AAGUCUACCCAUAAUUCCCUGUAUGGCCGAGGGCGCCAUUUUGGAACACAAAUGUAAACAAACACUCAAACCUCGUGUAAUCGAUGUACACCGUGAUGCUUGAUUGCGAUAUGCUUACCUCGUGUAUCGAUACAUUGUUCUCAAUCACCUCUAACACGGAAAUCCCGGUCGAAAUCCACCUGAGCCAUCCACAACGAGGACGUCAAGUAUUUCGAAAACUCGAUUGACAGCCGAAGGAGGAGCAGCUUGCGGAUGCCAGCAUGUUCAGGGUUUGUGGGGAGGUUCACAGACAUCCUCAGGGGGGAUACAAAGUAUUGAAAUGUCCGGAUGAAUAAAAGAGACAGUCAUCUGUGCAGCAUCAAUGCAAUGAAAGACCAUAGAAGAGCAACAGUGAAACUGAAGUCCUGCUUGAGAUCCCUGGAUGAGUACUCCAGGUUGACAGUCUGGAAGGACCAGACAAGGGAGUCCUAAACAGAGGGUGCACCCCUUCAGAUAUCAGAGGUCGAGGGUCCUGUUAUUUCAAUGGAGGCCGACCAAGAAGUUGUAUGCCAAAUGGUACAGGGACACACAAAGGCUGGUCUGCCUAAUGUGAGAAGACCAACCGAUGCCAAGC
This is a long non-coding RNA of Haliotis rufescens (red abalone), 613 nucleotides long. RefSeq lists it as uncharacterized. The record is from RefSeq and is a predicted model, not a curated record. The transcript is spliced from 4 exons. Lineage: Eukaryota; Metazoa; Mollusca; Gastropoda; Lepetellida; Haliotidae.